This 71-nucleotide transfer RNA is filed under the name Marmota monax (woodchuck). It matches the Rfam family "tRNA". From Rfam's summary of the family: Transfer RNA (tRNA) molecules are approximately 80 nucleotides in length. Their secondary structure includes four short double-helical elements and three loops (D, anti-codon, and T loops). The record is from Rfam by way of RNAcentral. Lineage: Eukaryota; Metazoa; Chordata; Mammalia; Rodentia; Sciuridae.
GUGGUUGUGGUUCGGUGGUAGAGCACUUGCUUCGAAUGUAUGAAGCACUGGGUUUGAUCCUCAGCAUCACA